UGUAGUGUGUAUAUCAGAAAUGGAAUAAAAAAAAGUGUUCUGUGUUACCUCGUCCGUGUGUCGAACCUUUCUUGUCAUUUGACUUGUCUGAUGUAGACGUCGUUAGGGGGCGCCCGGUCGUCGAUGCGUUAGCUCGCCUUUCUCGUCGUACAUGGCCGCGAGCCUGAGCUUGGCCGUCCGGGCUCCACAUUAUUUCGGGGAUGUCGUUGUCUUCCUAACCGGUGUCGAAAGUCUUUUUAGCGGCCGGAGGUGUUCGGUAGGAACUCUCCAUUUCAGUUGGGACGAAGUGGUUCAUCCUUCGUCCGUUCCCACCGUAGUUCGUCACCCUUCCUUUUUAGUUUUCCUCCUCUUCUCAGAGUGAAGGCCUUCCCCCACUUUUUGCGGGGUUGCAUAGGAGCGAGGAGGUGCCAAUGAGGGGCUUUUUCUUUUCACCCGAUCUUGUUGGGC
Molecule: long non-coding RNA, 447 nt
Filed under: Elaeis guineensis (African oil palm)
Lineage: Eukaryota; Viridiplantae; Streptophyta; Magnoliopsida; Arecales; Arecaceae
Description: long non-coding RNA (EGUI_LNC044985)
Source: RNAcentral